This 465-nucleotide ribosomal RNA is filed under the name uncultured Klebsiella sp. RNAcentral describes it as "bacterial SSU rRNA". It matches the Rfam family "Bacterial small subunit ribosomal RNA", at positions 338 to 795 of the family's 1533-position model. Lineage: Bacteria; Pseudomonadati; Pseudomonadota; Gammaproteobacteria; Enterobacterales; Enterobacteriaceae. The record is from RNAcentral.
CCUACGGGUGGCAGCAGUGGGGAAUAUUGCACAAUGGGCGCAAGCCUGAUGCAGCCAUGCCGCGUGUGUGAAGAAGGCCUUCGGGUUGUAAAGCACUUUCAGCGGGGAGGAAGGCGUUAAGGUUAAUAACCUUGUCGAUUGACGUUACCCGCAGAAGAAGCACCGGCUAACUCCGUGCCAGCAGCCGCGGUAAUACGGAGGGUGCAAGCGUUAAUCGGAAUUACUGGGCGUAAAGCGCACGCAGGCGGUCGGUCAAGUCGGAUGUGAAAUCCCCGGGCUCAACCUGGGAACUGCAUUCGAAACUGGCAGGCUAGAGUCUUGUAGAGGGGGGUAGAAUUCCAGGUGUAGCGGUGAAAUGCGUAGAGAUCUGGAGGAAUACCGGUGGCGAAGGCGGCCCCCUGGACAAAGACUGACGCUCAGGUGCGAAAGCGUGGGGAGCAAACAGGAUUAGAUACCCGUGUAGUC